UACAGAGACUGCAAGCGUUAUUCGGAUUCACUGGGCGUAAAGGGUGCGCAGGCGGUUGUUUGUGUCAGGCGUGAAAGCCCGGGGCUUAACCCCGGAAUUGCGCCUGAAACUACAUGACUAGAGCAUUGGAGAGGGUAGCGGAAUUCACGGUGUAGCAGUGAAAUGCGUAGAUAUCGUGAGGAACACCAGAGGCGAAGGCGGCUACCUGGACAAUUGCUGACGCUCAGGCACGAAAGCGUGGGGAGCAAAAGGG
This 253-nucleotide ribosomal RNA is filed under the name uncultured bacterium. RNAcentral describes it as "partial 16S ribosomal RNA". It matches the Rfam family "Bacterial small subunit ribosomal RNA", at positions 524 to 776 of the family's 1533-position model. The record is from RNAcentral.